GGUGUCCCGCAUUGCAAGCAGAUUCAGUGGGGUCUGACUUAUGCUAAAUCUGCUCUCAAGAGAAGCACUAACAACUUGUAUUUUCCCACCGUUACCUGAAAGAUAUACCAAUUAUUGUUUUGUUUCUCUCAGGCGUUCUCUUACUGUGGCUCUGAGAGGUUUAUCCAUAGUGGGGGGAAAAUACAAAGAUUUAAUAGCCCUGAGCCUUAGUUUUUACAUCUGUAAAAUGGGGCUUCCAUACCAGCAAGGGAAGAGUUGCUGCUGCUGCUGCUGCUAACUCGCUUCAGUCGUAUCCGACUCUGUGCGACCCCAGAGACGGCAGCCCACCAGGCCCCGCCUUCCCUGGGAUUCUCCAGGCAAGAACACUGGAGUGGGUUGCCAUUUCCUCCUCCAAUACAUGAAAGUGAAAAGUGAAAGUGAAGUCGCUCAGUCGUGUCCAACUUUUAGCGAUUCCAUGGACUGCAGCCCACCAGGCUCCUCCGUUCAUGGGAUUUUCCAGGCAAGAGUACUGGAGUGGGGGAAGAGUAGGGAAGGAGAAAUGCAGUGGUCGAGGCAGACCCUGAGCUGGCCUUACCUUGGGUGUUUACCAGAAGAACUUCAGCUUUGGUCUCCUGUGGUCACUCCUGCAUCCCCAGGGCCAGGAAACAAGCCUGAUACACAGCAGGGGAUACCGAUUCGAUUGCUGGUCCCGGAAGAUCCCACCUGCCUAGGGGCACCGAAGCCUGAGCACCACAACUACUGAAACCAGCGCCACCUAGAGU
Molecule: long non-coding RNA, 761 nt
Organism: Bos taurus (domestic cattle)
Lineage: Eukaryota; Metazoa; Chordata; Mammalia; Artiodactyla; Bovidae
Source: Ensembl